GCAAAAGUAAUUGAAUAUAAUUGCCUCAAUUAUUCAAUUAGUCUUUGUUUAUUCAAGUCAUAACUUUUGAAAAGAGAAGAGGACUGCUUCAUGUAGAUUAGCUGAAAAAUAGUUGUACUAAUUUCAAGCAAUCACUGAUCAUUCUUGUUUGCAAAUUACUCUCAACAUUCAACAGAUUUCAGAAUGGAGAUUGGCUUAGCAGUUGGUGCUGCAUUUCUCUUUUCAGCUUUUAAUGUUCUCUUUGAUAGGCUUGCUCCUCAUGUUGAUCUGCUCAACAUGUUCCGGAAGCAUAAGGAUCAUAUGGAAAACAUAUCAACUAUGCCGGAAGAUCUACAAAAACAGGUAUACCAUUUUAUAUUCAUGAGUAGCUAAAUUAAUUUAUUCCUGAAAAUCUUUUGUUAAUUAUAAUUGUUUAUCAUGCUUGAAUAAUGUUAUAAUAAUCAUCUUUAGAAAAUUUGCUACAGAAAUAUUCUUCGAAUAAGUAUGCCAAGACUAUGCCAUCCUAAGGUUGAAAUUGGUAGGCAGAGAAGGCCGUUUAGGUUGAAACUGGUAGGCAGAGAAGGCCGUUUAGGGGAGUAAACAAAGUUGAGGCGCUGUUAGGGUAACUAAUCAAAGAAGAAAGCUGUAGUAGUGACCAGACGAGAUGAUUAUUAAAUCAUUAUUUUUGCAUAAUAAGCAAGUAUAAUUUAUUAAGAGGUUGGAAGGAAUAAAAUUUUAGUGAAAAUAAAAAUGAUAAAAAUCGAAACUUACCUAUUAAACGAUGAUGUUGAUUAUAAGAUAUUACUACUCUAUAUACUAAAAAAUCUGAAUAUUGAUAUAAAAAGAGAAAUUUAUGGCAAAUUAUUAACAUAUGAGAUAAUAGAAAUAACAACCCAAGGUUGGACUAAGUUAACCAUACAAAGCAUACAGGAUGAACUUUAUUAUGAUAUGUAUGAUUUAUAUGAUGAUUUAGAUAUUGGAGAUUAAAUAUGACUGAAUAUUGGCUAAGGCGAUAUGGUAGAAAUUACAGGUUAAAAAAGAUUAAAUAUCCAGAUAAAUUAAGUAAGCUUUUUAAAAUAUUAUAUAAAAAUUAUGAUGGAUAAAACUAAAAUAACUAAAAUAAAAAGAACCAAGAU
RNAcentral lists this long non-coding RNA (1115 nucleotides) under Solanum lycopersicum (tomato). RNAcentral's name for it is "partial TCONS_00178829". Lineage: Eukaryota; Viridiplantae; Streptophyta; Magnoliopsida; Solanales; Solanaceae. The record is from RNAcentral.